GUACGUAGUGACACGUGGCGGCACGUAUCAACCGGACUUCUAAUCCGAUGGCCGCAGGUUCGAAUCCUGCCGGGUGCGCCA
Molecule: transfer RNA, 81 nt
Filed under: Nocardiopsis sp. CNR-923
Lineage: Bacteria; Bacillati; Actinomycetota; Actinomycetes; Streptosporangiales; Nocardiopsidaceae
Description: tRNA-Arg
Rfam family: tRNA (bases 21-78)
About the family: Transfer RNA (tRNA) molecules are approximately 80 nucleotides in length. Their secondary structure includes four short double-helical elements and three loops (D, anti-codon, and T loops). Further hydrogen bonds mediate the characteristic L-shaped molecular structure. tRNAs have two regions of fundamental functional importance: the anti-codon, which is responsible for specific mRNA codon recognition, and the 3' end, to which the tRNAs corresponding amino acid is attached (by aminoacyl-tRNA synthetases). tRNAs cope with the degeneracy of the genetic code in two manners: having more than one tRNA (with a specific anti-codon) for a particular amino acid; and 'wobble' base-pairing, i.e. permitting non-standard base-pairing at the 3rd anti-codon position.
Source: RNAcentral